RNAcentral lists this long non-coding RNA (235 nucleotides) under Fukomys damarensis (Damara mole-rat). Its description in RNAcentral is "lncRNA (ENSFDAG00000031469.1)". Lineage: Eukaryota; Metazoa; Chordata; Mammalia; Rodentia; Bathyergidae. The record is from RNAcentral.
GCUGAAGCCUACUGAGACAAAUUUUCUUUCUUCCUCUAGAUGAGGGCCAAGAAGAGCUCUUGACAUCUAUUGGAGAAUGUCAUGUCAGACCACCAUUUCUCUAAGGUUUCACAAGUAACAUCAUCAUCAUCAUCAUCAUCAUCAUCAUCAAUAAUGGUUAAUGAAAACAUACUAACUAAUGAAAGCUUUUUUUGUGACUAUGCAGCACUUUCAUUUACAGCAGAUAAAAACAAAC